UUUUGGAGCCAGCCGCCUAAGGUGGGAUAGAUGAUUGGGGUGAAGUCGUAACAAGGUAGCCGUAUCGGAAGGUGCGGCUGGAUCACCUCCUUUCUAAGGAA
This 101-nucleotide ribosomal RNA is filed under the name Enterococcus faecium. RNAcentral describes it as "partial 16S ribosomal RNA". It matches the Rfam family "Bacterial small subunit ribosomal RNA", at positions 1441 to 1533 of the family's 1533-position model. The record is from RNAcentral. Lineage: Bacteria; Bacillati; Bacillota; Bacilli; Lactobacillales; Enterococcaceae. RNAcentral also lists the same sequence under 1 other name.